RNAcentral lists this ribosomal RNA (497 nucleotides) under uncultured bacterium. Its description in RNAcentral is "partial 16S ribosomal RNA". It matches the Rfam family "Bacterial small subunit ribosomal RNA", at positions 28 to 507 of the family's 1533-position model. The record is from RNAcentral.
GAUGAACGCUGGCGGCGUGCCUAAUACAUGCAAGUCGAGCGAACGGACGAGAAGCUUGCUUUUCUGAUGUUAGCGGCGGACGGGUGAGUAACACGUGGAUAACCUACCUAUAAGACUGGGAUAACUUCGGGAAACCGGAGCUAAUACCGGAUAAUAUUUUGAACCGCAUGGUUCAAAAGUGAAAGACGGUUUUGCUGUCACUUAUAGAUGGAUCCGCGCUGCAUUAGCUAGUUGGUAAGGUAACGGCUUACCAAGGCAACGAUGCAUGGCCGACCUGAGAGGGUGAUCGGCCACACUGGAACUGAGACACGGUCCAGACUCCUACGGGAGGCAGCAGUAGGGAAUCUUCCGCAAUGGGCGAAAGCCUGACGGAGCAACGCCGCGUGAGUGAUGAAGGUCUUCGGAUCGUAAAACUCUGUUAUUAGGGAAGAACAUAUGUGUAAGUAACUGUGCACAUCUUGACGGUACCUAAUCAGAAAGCCACGGCUAACUACGUG